Molecule: ribosomal RNA, 496 nt
Filed under: uncultured bacterium
Lineage: Bacteria
Description: bacterial SSU rRNA
Rfam family: Bacterial small subunit ribosomal RNA
Source: RNAcentral
GACGAACGCUGGCGGCGUGGAUUAGGCAUGCAAGUCGAACGGUAUCAUCCUUUCGGGGGUGAGAGAGUGGCGAACUGGUGAGUAACACGUAGGUUAUCUACCCUCAAGACGGGGACAACCCAGGGAAACUUGGGCUAAUACCGGAUGAGAGUGCGAGAGAUUGCAUUUAAAAGGAUGGCGAAAGUUGUCGCUUAGGGAUGAGCCUGCGGUCUAUUAGUUAGUUGGUGAGGUAAGAGCUCACCAAGGCGAUGAUAGAUAGGCGGCCUUAACGGGUGGUCGCCCACACUGGGAUUGAGAUACGGCCCAGACUCCUACGGGAGGCAGCAGUCGAGAAUAGUCUACAAUGGCCGGAAGGCUGAUAGUGCGACGCCGCGUGAACGAGGGAGCCCUUCGGGUGUAAAGUUCUUUUAUAUGUGAGCAGUGCUUCUUAUAUUAACAGUAUGGGGAGAGAGAUAUUAGCAUAUGAAUAAGCAAACGGCUAAACUCCGUGCCAGCA